Labeo rohita (rohu) is the source of this 821-nucleotide long non-coding RNA. RefSeq lists it as uncharacterized. NCBI's taxonomy places the organism in Eukaryota, Metazoa, Chordata, Actinopteri, Cypriniformes, Cyprinidae. The record is from RefSeq and is a predicted model, not a curated record. The transcript has 2 exons.
GUGUCUGUCUGACGCGAGAAUGAUCCCUGAAGCUGGACGCCCCAGAUUCCGCAUUAAUGCCGAGGAAUCUGAAGAUCGAGGUCUGGAUGGCCGCGCCUAACGAUUAUAGUCAGAAAUGGAACAAAAAUUGAGGGGCCACUGUUGUGUCUUCAUCAGGUACACAUGCUGGAGCCACUGCAGCUCGUGCUGAAUCUAAAAGACCGCCAGGUUCAAUCAGCCCACUGGAUCGGUGUUGCAGCUCUCCUCAUGUCAAAAUGACCUUCUCUAUCAAUCCCUCUAUAUUCCCCCUCACUCUUUAAUUUCCCCCCACAGUUCGAUCCGUUUUUGGCCAUUAAGUCUUUGACCCCCUUUCAGUGUGACUGACCCGAAUCACCCAUGUUAGUGCAUUCCCCUGCACUCUGACUCAAACUUUACCUUCCUCCUUUCUGACUCCACCCAGAAGCUAUUUCUCUAAAGCUUCUACUUUUUGGGGGGGAAUUAACUAAAAAUAAAUGAAGCGUCAGUGAGUUCAUUUAAAUACGGGACAGCGCUAAACUAGUUAAGAUUGUAUCAGAGACGGGCCACUUGUGGUUGGUCUUGUAAAAAUUUGCUCUGUAUAAAAAGUGUAUGGAGUGCCACAGUAUGAGUCCUAAAACCCCAGAAACUGGUUAGCAUUUUUGAACUUCUGGUUCCAUCUAGAGGUCGACCGAUAUUGGAUUUUACCAAUACCGAUAACAAGGUUGGACCACACUGGCCGAUGCCGAUUAAUCAGUCGAUAGUUUUUAAAAUGGAUACUAAACGGAAAAUAAAUAGUGCUUUACUAUUUAAAAAAAAAAAAAUAG